This 2929-nucleotide long non-coding RNA is filed under the name Homo sapiens (human). RNAcentral's name for it is "HSALNT0308002". The record is from RNAcentral. Lineage: Eukaryota; Metazoa; Chordata; Mammalia; Primates; Hominidae.
AAUAUCACAGGUGGAUGUCUCCUUUUGACUAGUUUCUCCAGAGCCUUCAUGGACUGUAGGACAGAAAAACAGUAAAAGGAAUUCAGGGAGGUUUGGAAUCGGAGGGAUUAUAAGAAAUGAUUGAGUUACUUCUCUCUCAGAUCUCUCUGCCCUGGUAAUUUCUUCUGAAGGUUGAAUUCCAUCACCACCCUGUUCUUCUUGCUGGUCCUACAUGAUGAUGUGCCUGCUGAACCCAGUUCUCACUAUCAUGCUUCCUGUGACUCUUAUAAUAUUCUUAACCUGUUAUACCAUUUCUGAAAACAGUGAACUAUAAUGUUCAAACACAUGGGUAAGCAUUGUAAUUCACUCUGAUAAAAAUGCAAUUAAAAUUGACAUUCAGUGAAAUGAAGUCAUCCAUCAAUAUCUGCUGGUUCCCCAUUCACAAAUUCAGCCAAUCUUGAAUCAAAAUAUUCAGAAAAAAAGUACAAAAUAAUAAUGCAGAAAUAAAAAAUAAUAAAAAAAUAAAAAUAGAGUAUAACACAUUUUUACACAGCAUUUAUGUUGUAUUAAGUAUUACAAGUAAUCUAGAGAUGAUUUAAAUUAUAUGUGAGGAUGUGCAUAGGAUACAGCACUUUAUAUCAUCAGGGACUUGAGCAUCCACAGAUUUUGGUAUACUGUGGGGAGGGCGGGUCCUGGACCCAAUCCCCUGAGGAGACUGAGGGAUGACCAUGCACAGAUCUUAAGGGUACCUGAUAUGGUUUGGAUGUUUGUCCUCUACGAAUCUCAUGUUGAGGUGUAAUCCUCAAUGUUGGAGGUAUGGGUUGGUAGGAAGUGUUUGCAUCAUGGGGGUGGAUCCCUUAUGAAUGGCUUAGGGCCAUACCCUUGGUGAUGAGGGAGUUCUCACUCAGUUAGUUCACAUGAGAUCUGCUUGUUUAAGAGUCUGGGUUUGUUUAAGAGUCUGGAACCUCUUCGUUCUCUCUCUUGCUCCCCGUCUCGCCACAUGACACACCUGCUGCCACUAUGCAUUCUGCCAUGAGUAAAAAGCUCCCUGAGGCCUUACUGGAAGCAGAUGCCGGCACCAUGCUUCUCAUACAGCCUGGAGAACCAUGAGUCAGAAUAAACUUUUUUUCCUUAUAAAUUAUCCAGCCUUAGGUAUUCCUUUAGAGCAAUGCAAAUGGACUAACUCAGUAGCCUUUAAUUAGUGUUGAGUGCAUAUCAAGACACAUAGAACAACUCUAUCAUCCCAGAAAGUUCCCUGGUUACCCUUCCCAGGCAUUGCCCUACCACUACCCUGUCUAUAUAUGGGCAGAUGUCUGUCACCACAGAUUAGUUUUAACUAUUCUAGAACAUCACAUCAGUGGAAUAAUUCAAUAUGUAAUUUUUGUGUCAAGUUUCUUUCACUCAAAAUGAUAGCUUUUGAAAUUAAUUCAGGUAGUUGCAUGUAUCAAUAGUUUAUAUCUUUUUAUUGCUUAGUAUUCCAUUGAAUGAUACACUGCAGGUUAUUUAUUCAUUCUCCUGUUGAAGGAUAUCUGGGUUGUUUUCAGUUACUGACUGGAAAUUAUAAUUGGGUAUUUAUGAAUAAAGCUGCUGUACAAAUCCUUGUAAAAGACUUUGUGUACACAUAUGUUUUGAUUUCUCUUGAAUAAAUAACUAGCAGCAGGAUUACUGAAUCUUAAGGCAAAAAUUAUUGUUGGUGGUGGUUUUUAAAUUCUCCACCUGCAGGAAUGUUUAAUAUAUUUUGGGUACAAAUCUGUUGUCAGAUAUAUGUGUUGCAAUAUUUUUCUCGGUCUAUUUUGUUGACAGUGCUAACCUUGCAUUCCUGGGAAAAGUCAAACUUGAUCUUGGUAUAUUAACUUUUUAAUAUAUUGCUGGAUUUCAUUUGCUAAUAUUUUGUAGAGCAUUUUUGUAUCUAUUUUCUUGAGAUAUGCUGGCUGUAAUUUUCUUUUCUUGUAUUUUCCAUGCCUGCCCUUCAUGAAAUGGGCUGAAAAUUGUUCCCACGUCUGCUAUUUUAUGAGAGUUUGUGUCAGAGUAGUAUUAUUUUUUAUUCAUAAGUUAUAACUCACUAGUGAAACUAUCUAGUCCGGGAGUGUUUUUUUUUUUUGUUGUUGUUGUUGCUAUUCAAUUACAAAUUUGAUUUCUUUAUACAAGGCUAUUUCACUUUUUUUAUUUUAUUGAUUUCUGUUCUUUUUAUUAUAUCCUUGUGCUACAUACUUAGGACUUAAUUUAUUAUUUUUCUAGUUUCUUAAAAUGGAAGUAGAAAUGCUUGACUUUAUGCCUUGUUUUCUCAUAUAGGUAUUAAAAUGUAUAAAUUGCCUUCUAAAGAUUGCUUUAGUUGCAUACCACAAAUAUUGAUAUGUUGUGUUUUCAUGUAUUUCUGUUCAAAAUAUAUAUUGGAAUAUCCUUUGAGAUUUCUUAGACUCAUGAAUUAUUUAGCAGUGUGUUUUUAACUUCCAAAUCUUUGGGGGGUUUUCAAAUGUAUAUUAUUUUUAUUCAUCUUCAUUAAAUUUAAUAGUUUAAUUUAUCAUCAUUGUAUUAUUUAAAUACUUUGUUUAAUUUAGGUACUUUGAAAUGUAUUGUAACUUCUUUUAUGGCCCAGGAUAUGUCUAUCUUUUUGAGUAUUUCAUGUGCACCUUAGAAGUUGUAGCUUGCUCUAGUGUGGAAUGAUUUUCUAUUAAUGUCAAUUAGCUUACAUUGAUGGUUAGUGUUGUUCAAAUCAUCCAUAACUGUACUGAUUUUUAUUUAAUUGUUUUAUCUAUUACUGAGAAAAUAGUGUUAAAAUCUAUAUUGGUGACAGUAAAUUUGCGUCUAGUUCUCUUUUGUUUUGUCAGUUUUUGUCUCAUACUUGGGAGCUUUGUAUUGGGGGUAUAAACUUUCAGUAGUCUUAUGUCUUCUUGAAUAAGUGAUUCUUUUAUCAUUAUGAAAUGCCCCAUUAAAAUCUCUGCUAGCACUA